Molecule: transfer RNA, 83 nt
Filed under: Isosphaera pallida ATCC 43644
Lineage: Bacteria; Pseudomonadati; Planctomycetota; Planctomycetia; Isosphaerales; Isosphaeraceae
Description: tRNA-Tyr (GTA) (tRNA-Tyr-GTA-1-1)
Rfam family: tRNA
About the family: Transfer RNA (tRNA) molecules are approximately 80 nucleotides in length. Their secondary structure includes four short double-helical elements and three loops (D, anti-codon, and T loops).
Source: Rfam by way of RNAcentral
GGGUGGAUACCCAAGUGGCUAAAGGGGCCAGACUGUAAAUCUGGUGGCGUUCGCCUUCGCAGGUUCGAAUCCUGCUCCACCCA